UACGUAGGGGGCAAGCGUUGUCCGGAUUUAUUGGGCGUAAAGGGCUCGUAGGCGGUUUGUCGCGUCGGGAGUGAAAACCCAGGGCUUAACCCUGGGCUGGCUUUCGAUACGGGCAGACUAGAGGUAUGCAGGGGAGAACGGAAUUCCUGGUGUAGCGGUGAAAUGCGCAGAUAUCAGGAGGAACACCAAUGGCGAAGGCAGCACUCUGGGACGGUACUGACGCUGAGACGCGAAAGCGUGGGGAGCAAACAGG
Molecule: ribosomal RNA, 253 nt
Filed under: uncultured bacterium
Lineage: Bacteria
Description: partial 16S ribosomal RNA
Rfam family: Bacterial small subunit ribosomal RNA
Source: RNAcentral